This 467-nucleotide ribosomal RNA is filed under the name Salmonella enterica subsp. enterica serovar Typhimurium. RNAcentral describes it as "partial 23S ribosomal RNA". It matches the Rfam family "Bacterial large subunit ribosomal RNA", at positions 1 to 498 of the family's 2925-position model. Lineage: Bacteria; Pseudomonadati; Pseudomonadota; Gammaproteobacteria; Enterobacterales; Enterobacteriaceae. The record is from RNAcentral.
GGGUUGUGAGGUUAAGCGACUAAGCGUACACGGUGGAUGCCUUGGCAGUCAGAGGCGAUGAAGGGCGUGCUAAUCUGCGAUAAGCGCCGGUAAGGUGAUAUGAACCGUUAUAACCGGCGAUACCCGAAUGGGGAAACCCAGUGUGACUCGUCACACUAUCAUUAACUGAAUCCAUAGGUUAAUGAGGCGAACCGGGGGAACUGAAACAUCUAAGUACCCCGAGGAAAAGAAAUCAACCGAGAUUCCCCCAGUAGCGGCGAGCGAACGGGGAGGAGCCCAGAGCCUGAAUCAGCAUGUGUGUUAGUGGAAGCGUCUGGAAAGGCGCGCGAUACAGGGUGACAGCCCCGUACACAAAAGCGCAUGUGCUGUGAGCUCGAUGAGUAGGGCGGGACACGUGGUAUCCUGUCUGAAUAUGGGGGGACCAUCCUCCAAGGCUAAAUACUCCUGACUGACCGAUAGUGAACCAG